AAAUAUUUCGUGCAAGGUUAUAGGUUUUCAUUUUGAGGUUAUAUAAAGUCAUGUAUGUUAUCUUUGUAAAGGAGACUUAGAAAAUGUAGUAAAAAGAGAAUUUGUGAGUAAGUUUCUUUGCAAUUCUAUGUA
Cucurbita maxima (winter squash) is the source of this 132-nucleotide long non-coding RNA. RefSeq lists it as uncharacterized. Lineage: Eukaryota; Viridiplantae; Streptophyta; Magnoliopsida; Cucurbitales; Cucurbitaceae. The transcript is spliced from 3 exons. The record is from RefSeq and is a predicted model, not a curated record.